AGAGAGAGACAUGCGCGCAUAUCAAUAAGCGGAGGAAAAGAAACUAACAAGGAUUCCCUUAGUAACGGCGAGUGAAGCGGGAAGAGCUCAAAUUUGAAAUCUUCAAGGUUUUACCUUGACGAAUUGUAGUUUAAAGAAGUGUUUUCUGCUGAAGUUUUGGUAAAAGUUCUUUGGAAUAGGACAUCAUAGAGGGUGAGAAUCCCGUAUUUGACCAUUAUUUUCAGCUUUGUGAUACACUUUCGAAAGAGUCGGAUUGUUUGGGAAUGCAGUCCAAAAUGGGUGGUAAAUUUCAUCUAAAGCUAAAUAUUGGCGAGAGACCGAUAGCGAACAAGUACCGUGAGGGAAAGAUGAAAAGAACUUUGAAAAGAGAGUUAAACAGUACGUGAAAUUGUCAAAAGGGAAGCGUUUGACACCAGUGUUGUUUUCUCGAAAAUCAAUUAAAAAUGGCUCGAUUUUGUAUUGCUUGAGACCUUAAAAGCUCACUGUACAUUUUUCGUGUCUUUUUUAAUGCACUUUUCGUUUAACAAGUCAACAUCAGUUUCUUUUGUUGUAAAAGGGUCAUUGGAAGGUGGCUUUCUUUUCGGAGAAAGUGUUUAUAGCCUUUGGCCUCUGCAAUCGGAGAGACUGAGGUCUGCAGCGUAGACUCUUCGGGGUUAGGUACAUUUGUGCUAAGUUAUAGCCUUUCAUAGACAACUUGUUGACUAUGAUCAGUCAUGUAGCUUACUCGCUUAUGCUAUUUUACCUACGCUUAGGAUGUUGAGUCGUAGAGCACGCA
Molecule: ribosomal RNA, 775 nt
Filed under: uncultured Neocallimastigales
Lineage: Eukaryota; Fungi; Neocallimastigomycota; Neocallimastigomycetes; Neocallimastigales
Description: partial large subunit ribosomal RNA
Rfam family: Eukaryotic large subunit ribosomal RNA
Source: RNAcentral